GACGAACGCUGGCGGCGUGCUUAACACAUGCAAGUCGAACGGAAAGGCCCUGCUUUUGUGGGGUGCUCGAGUGGCGAACGGGUGAGUAACACGUGAGUAACCUGCCCUUGACUUUGGGAUAACUUCAGGAAACUGGGGCUAAUACCGGAUAGGAGCUCCUGCUGCAUGGUGGGGGUUGGAAAGUUUCGGCGGUUGGGGAUGGACUCGCGGCUUAUCAGCUUGUUGGUGGGGUAGUGGCUUACCAAGGCUUUGACGGGUAGCCGGCCUGAGAGGGUGACCGGCCACAUUGGGACUGAGAUACGGCCCAGACUCCUACGGGAGGCAGCAGUGGGGAAUAUUGCACAAUGGGCGGGAGCCUGGUGCAGCAACGCCGCGUGCGGGAUGACGGCCUUCGGGUUGUAAACCGCUUUCGCCUGUGACGAAGCGUGAGUGACGGUAAUGGGUAAAGAAGCACCGGCUAACUACGUG
RNAcentral lists this ribosomal RNA (468 nucleotides) under uncultured bacterium. RNAcentral describes it as "partial 16S ribosomal RNA". It matches the Rfam family "Bacterial small subunit ribosomal RNA", at positions 28 to 507 of the family's 1533-position model. The record is from RNAcentral.